AGUGAACGCUGGCGGUAGGCCUAACACAUGCAAGUCGAACGGCAGCACAGUAAGAGCUUGCUCUUACGGGUGGCGAGUGGCGGACGGGUGAGGAAUACAUCGGAAUCUACUUUUUCGUGGGGGAUAACAUAGGGAAACUUACGCUAAUACCGCAUACGACCUACGGGUGAAAGCAGGGGAUCUUCGGACCUUGCGCGAUUGAAUGAGCCGAUGUCGGAUUAGCUAGUUGGCGGGGUAAAGGCCCACCAAGGCGACGAUCCGUAGCUGGUCUGAGAGGAUGAUCAGCCACACUGGAACUGAGACACGGUCCAGACUCCUACGGGAGGCAGCAGUGGGGAAUAUUGGACAAUGGGCGCAAGCCUGAUCCAGCCAUACCGCGUGGGUGAAGAAGGCCUUCGGGUUGUAAAGCCCUUUUGUUGGGAAAGAAAAGCAGCAAGUUAAUACCCCGCUGUUCUGACGGUACCCAAAGAAUAAGCACCGGCUAACUUCGUG
Molecule: ribosomal RNA, 492 nt
Filed under: uncultured bacterium
Lineage: Bacteria
Description: partial 16S ribosomal RNA
Rfam family: Bacterial small subunit ribosomal RNA
Source: RNAcentral